Molecule: long non-coding RNA, 338 nt
Organism: Leptopilina heterotoma
Lineage: Eukaryota; Metazoa; Arthropoda; Insecta; Hymenoptera; Figitidae
Exons: 3
Source: RefSeq, a predicted model, not a curated record
AAUUGUUGUUCUGCGUCAAGUUGCAAAUUUGGUUUCACAUAAGAAAACACAGCAGCAAUCAAAGAUGGUGAGACUUUACACUCUUUUGCUAUUGUGCGUUGUAUUUUUCGUAUUCAGCGUCAAUGGUCAAUGUGCGAAAGAAAAUGAAUCGUGCAGCAGAACUAAACCUUGCUGUACUGGACUUCGAUGCAACAGUGGCAAAUGCAAAAAAGGAGGAUAAUUCAAAAUUUAAUUCCAAAUAACAAUACUUGAUGUAAAUUAAAUUGCAUUAAUUUUUUCUAAUCAAAUUUUUUACUGUAAACCCAUUGCUUUUAAUAAUAAAGACCAUAAAAAGAAAA